RNAcentral lists this ribosomal RNA (253 nucleotides) under uncultured bacterium. Its description in RNAcentral is "partial 16S ribosomal RNA". It matches the Rfam family "Bacterial small subunit ribosomal RNA", at positions 524 to 776 of the family's 1533-position model. The record is from RNAcentral.
GACGUAGGGUGCAAGCGUUGUCCGGAAUUAUUGGGCGUAAAGAGUUCGUAGGCGGUUAUUUAAGUCUGGUGUUAAAGACGGGAGCUCAACUCCCGCAUGGCAUUGGAAACUGGAUAGCUAGAGUACGGUAGAGGUCUCGGGAAUUCCAGGUGUAGCGGUGAAAUGCGUAGAUAUCGGGAGGAACACCAGUAGCGAAGGCGGCUCGCUGGGCCAUUCCUGACGCUGAGACGCGAAAGCUAGGGGAGCGAACAGG